RNAcentral lists this non-coding RNA (198 nucleotides) under Planctomycetota bacterium. RNAcentral describes it as "6S RNA". It matches the Rfam family "6S / SsrS RNA". Rfam says of the family: E. coli 6S RNA was the first non coding RNA to be sequenced, but its function was unknown until recently. It consists of 184 nucleotides that fold into an extended hairpin structure with a large single-stranded internal bulge. Lineage: Bacteria; Pseudomonadati; Planctomycetota. The record is from RNAcentral.
GGCUUACUGGGAUGUGCGCCGGCCUGACGAUAAAGUUUGGGGCGCCGAUGAAUGUGCUCGGGGAGGUCAAAUCUCGCGCGGCUUAAUUCAAGCCCUCCUUCUCAGAUGUAGAGGGAUCGGUGAAGCCGGGCGGAGGCCACCCACCUGCCUAAACAGGGUGCACAAACUGUACAGCGCAGCGGCAUCCAUGGUUCGCUG